This 1013-nucleotide ribosomal RNA is filed under the name Francisella tularensis subsp. novicida. RNAcentral's name for it is "bacterial SSU rRNA". It matches the Rfam family "Bacterial small subunit ribosomal RNA", at positions 148 to 1159 of the family's 1533-position model. Lineage: Bacteria; Pseudomonadati; Pseudomonadota; Gammaproteobacteria; Thiotrichales; Francisellaceae. The record is from RNAcentral.
AGUUGGAAACGACUGUUAAUACCGCAUAAUAUCUGUGGAUUAAAGGUGGCUUUCGGGCUGUCGCAGAUGGAUGAGCCUGCGUUGGAUUAGCUAGUUGGUGGGGUAAGGGCCCACCAAGGCUACGAUCCAUAGCUGAUUUGAGAGGAUGAUCAGCCACAUUGGGACUGAGACACGGCCCAAACUCCUACGGGAGGCAGCAGUGGGGAAUAUUGGACAAUGGGGGCAACCCUGAUCCAGCAAUGCCAUGUGUGUGAAGAAGGCCCUAGGGUUGUAAAGCACUUUAGUUGGGGAGGAAAGCCUCAAGGUUAAUAGCCUUGGGGGAGGACGUUACCCAAAGAAUAAGCACCGGCUAACUCCGUGCCAGCAGCCGCGGUAAUACGGGGGGUGCAAGCGUUAAUCGGAAUUACUGGGCGUAAAGGGUCUGUAGGUGGUUUGUUAAGUCAGAUGUGAAAGCCCAGGGCUCAACCUUGGAACUGCAUUUGAUACUGGCAAACUAGAGUACGGUAGAGGAAUGGGGAAUUUCUGGUGUAGCGGUGAAAUGCGUAGAGAUCAGAAGGAACACCAAUGGCGAAGGCAACAUUCUGGACCGAUACUGACACUGAGGGACGAAAGCGUGGGGAUCAAACAGGAUUAGAUACCCUGGUAGUCCACGCUGUAAACGAUGAGUACUAGCUGUUGGAGUCGGUGUAAAGGCUCUAGUGGCGCAGCUAACGCGAUAAGUACUCCGCCUGGGGACUACGGCCGCAAGGCUAAAACUCAAAGGAAUUGACGGGGACCCGCACAAGCGGUGGAGCAUGUGGUUUAAUUCGAUGCAACGCGAAGAACCUUACCUGGUCUUGACAUCCUGCGAACUUUCUAGAGAUAGAUUGGUGCCUUCGGGAACGCAGUGACAGGUGCUGCACGGCUGUCGUCAGCUCGUGUUGUGAAAUGUUGGGUUAAGUCCCGCAACGAGCGCAACCCCUAUUGAUAGUUACCAUCAUUAAGUUGGGUACUCUAUUGAGACUGCCGCUGAC